Molecule: ribosomal RNA, 253 nt
Filed under: uncultured bacterium
Lineage: Bacteria
Description: partial 16S ribosomal RNA
Rfam family: Bacterial small subunit ribosomal RNA
Source: RNAcentral
UACAAAGGGGGCUAGCGUUGCUCGGAAUUACUGGGCGUAAAGGGCGCGUAGGCGGAUGUUUAAGUCAGAGGUGAAAGCCCAGGGCUCAACCUUGGAACUGCCUUUGAUACUGGGCAUCUUGAGUUCGGGAGAGGUGAGUGGAAUACCCAGUGUAGAGGUGAAAUUCGUAGAUAUGUGGAGGAACACCGAUGGCGAAGGCAGCCCCCUGGGUUAACACUGACGCUCAUGCACGAAAGCGUGGGGAGCAAACAGG